This 492-nucleotide ribosomal RNA is filed under the name uncultured bacterium. RNAcentral's name for it is "partial 16S ribosomal RNA". It matches the Rfam family "Bacterial small subunit ribosomal RNA", at positions 29 to 507 of the family's 1533-position model. The record is from RNAcentral.
AGUGAACGCUGGCGGUAGGCCUAACACAUGCAAGUCGGACGGCAGCACAGUAAGAGCUUGCUCUUACGGGUGGCGAGUGGCGGACGGGUGAGGAAUACAUCGGAAUCUACUUUUUCGUGGGGGAUAACGUAGGGAAACUUACGCUAAUACCGCAUACGACCUACGGGUGAAAGCAGGGGAUCUUCGGACCUUGCGCGAUUGAAUGAGCCGAUGUCGGAUUAGCUAGUUGACGGGGUAAAGGCCCACCAAGGCGACGAUCCGUAGCUGGUCUGAGAGGAUGAUCAGCCACACUGGAACUGAGACACGGUCCAGACUCCUACGGGAGGCAGCAGUGGGGAAUAUUGGACAAUGGGCGCAAGCCUGAUCCAGCCAUACCGCGUGGGUGAAGAAGGCCUUCGGGUUGUAAAGCCCUUUUGUUGGGAAAGAAAAGCAGCAGGUUAAUACCCCGCUGUUCUGACGGUACCCAAAGAAUAAGCACCGGCUAACUUCGUG